Molecule: ribosomal RNA, 377 nt
Filed under: uncultured Acidovorax sp.
Lineage: Bacteria; Pseudomonadati; Pseudomonadota; Betaproteobacteria; Burkholderiales; Comamonadaceae
Description: bacterial SSU rRNA
Rfam family: Bacterial small subunit ribosomal RNA
Source: RNAcentral
AGAUAGAGGAGUGCUCGAAGAGAACCGUAACACAGGUGCUGCAUGGCUGUCGUCAGCUCGUGUCGUGAGAUGUUGGGUUAAGUCCCGCAACGAGCGCAACCCUUGUCAUUAGUUGCUACAUUCAGUUGGGCACUCUAAUGAGACUGCCGGUGACAAACCGGAGGAAGGUGGGGAUGACGUCAAGUCCUCAUGGCCCUUAUAGUGGGGCUACACACGUCAUACAAUGGGAUGGUACAAAGGGUCGCCAACCCGCGAGGGGGAGCCAAUCCCAUAAAGCCAUUCGUAGUCCGGAUCGCAGUCUGCAACUCGACUGCGUGAAGUCGGAAUCGCUAGUAAUCGUGAAUCAGAAUGUCACGGUGAAUACGUUCCCGGGCCUU